GAUCAUGGCUCAGGAUGAACGUUGGCGGCGUGCCUAACACAUGCAAGUCGAGCGAGAAAUCUUGGAAUGAGACUUCGGUUAAGUGAAGAGAUGGAAAGCGGCGGACGGGUGAGUAACGCGUAGGCAACCUGCCUUAUGCAGAGGGAUAGCCAUUGGAAACGAUGAUUAAAACCUCAUGAUGCCAUUUUAUCACAUGGUGAGAUGGUCAAAGAUUUAUCGGCAUAAGA
This 227-nucleotide ribosomal RNA is filed under the name uncultured bacterium. RNAcentral's name for it is "partial 16S ribosomal RNA". It matches the Rfam family "Bacterial small subunit ribosomal RNA", at positions 15 to 225 of the family's 1533-position model. The record is from RNAcentral.